Molecule: long non-coding RNA, 1676 nt
Organism: Prinia subflava (tawny-flanked prinia)
Lineage: Eukaryota; Metazoa; Chordata; Aves; Passeriformes; Cisticolidae
Exons: 2
Source: RefSeq, a predicted model, not a curated record
CAGUUCUGCUUUAUGUUCAUGCUUCAGCUCUUUGCCCUUUCUUGCAGAUUACACAAGGUUUUUAAAUAGUUAUUUGAGAUCUAAUCUUAGCUGCUGUGUCAGCUGCCCCCUGCUGAGGCUUAAACGCUUCUGCUGACCAGGAAAGCGGAGACUGCAGUCUCAAAAAGGAAUAUGUCACUUGCCUUCUAGAGAGCAGAGUGGAGAUGGGAAUGGAUAGGAAAAUGUUUUUCCCAGAAGAGUGAACAAUGGCAAGGCAUGAGAACAUGGGCUGAUGUACAUUUUCUGUGGUCCCAUGCCCUCUGGCAGUUUGUUCCUUCUCUCUAUGCUGCCACCUCCACAGUGCCACCACAAGUGCUUGCAUGCUUGCCUGGUGAGUCAGACCCAGCUGAACUGAUACAGCUAAAAAAAAAAAAAUUGUUUUGGACUUACUAUGCCUGCCAAAUCAUGUCCAGACUACAUGACCUGGGUUUCAGAGUUGGAAACUGGAGCAGAAUUUGUCACACCGGCAACUCAACAGCUCCAUCAAACCUGGUUCCUGCUGUGCCAAGCAUGCAGUGGGACUUUCAGGGUUGUGUUUUUCAUUAUUGGAGCAAUCUAAAAGUGUUCUGCACUUCCAAACAGGAGCUCUGAAGGAAACUUGAAUUUCAGAGCCCAUUGAAGCACCAAAACUGUAGGAACUGCAUCUGUGUUCUUCAUAGGCAAAGCUCCCACCAAAGGAAUGGGCAGAACAGUGGCCUUCGGACUGAUCAGAAAGAUGGUUUUUAAGUUAAUUUCCAGUGCCACCUCCCCCUCUGCUCCAGAAAUCAACCAUGUAGCAGUAACAGAGGGUGAGGAAGAACCAGAAUUUGAAGACUCCGAGGAAGAGCUAAGAGAUUAUGAAGAGCCAGAGGGUCCGUCUCGGCAGCCCCACGACCAAUGGCCAACCCAACAGUCAUGGUUUGCGGACUAUUAUCCGGAGUCGGAGUACCUUCCGGACCCACCGCGAUUCUGUUCUUCUUAAUUAAAAGAAAAGGGGGAGAUGUGGUGGUGCAUGUUUUUUAAAUUUGCUGUUUUAUGUAAAGUUUGGUUGAUUGUACAGUUCGGUUCUAUGUACCCCUACCCCCCUAAUUAAUAUUCCUUUGUUCUCUCCUUCUCCCUCACAAGGGGAUAUUUUUAGACCUUACAGUUUAUUGUCAGUCAUCCUUCCCGCCUUUGGUUUCCCCCUCCCAGUUAUCUGUGACUAGUCUGAAGUGCCUUUCCCCUCCCCUGUCUGCCCUAGAGACUGUAUCCCAUUGGCCGGAGGUGGCCAACCCCGCCCCUUUCUCCUCCCCUUUUGUUCCCCUUAAAACCUUGUGCACGACCUGCGUCUGGGUCCAGAUUUGGGCUCAGAGCUAGGCGAAUAAACCUUCUCUGCUGCACCAGAUCCGGAUCCUCCUUUAUUCCUCUGCUUUGCUGCCCGAACAUCUGCUCCUAAGCCCCUUCAGGGACACAGAGCCCGCAGGGAUCAGCUCUGCUCGCCCUGCUUGCGGACUGACCCUAGGCUGCGCCUUGUCCCAGUGUCUGGGCUAGCUUGGGGCGAGAGCCAGUGGCUCGAGGAGGCACUGCGGCAGGUCUGUUCAGUAUGAGUUUGAACAGAACAGGUAGAUUAUUUCAUGUACAAGAAAAAAGAGAAAAGAAAUUAAAAAAAAAAAACAAAA